Molecule: ribosomal RNA, 402 nt
Filed under: uncultured bacterium
Lineage: Bacteria
Description: bacterial SSU rRNA
Rfam family: Bacterial small subunit ribosomal RNA
Source: RNAcentral
AACGCGAAGAACCUUACCGCCCCUUGCCAUGGGUGUCGCGAGUCCCAGAGAAGGGACUAUUCAGUUGGGGUGGACCCCACACAGGUGCUGCAUGGGUGUUGUCAGCUCGUGUUGUGAGAUGUUGGGUUAAGUCCCGCAACGAGCGCAACCCUCGUCUUCAGUUUCCAUCAGGUUAAGCUGGGCAUUUUGAAGAAACCGCCGGUGACAAGCGGGAGGAAGGGGGGGAGGACGUCAAGUCAUCAUGCCCCUUACGGGCGGGGCUCCCCACGUGCUACAAUGGUGACAACAGAGGGCAGCUAGCGGGCGAGGGCAUGAUAUUCCCAAAAACUCUUCUCAGUUCAGAUUGCAGUCUGCAACUCGGGUGCAUGAAGCUGGAAUCGCUAGUAAUCGCAGAUCAGCAUG